This 202-nucleotide unclassified non-coding RNA is filed under the name soil metagenome. RNAcentral describes it as "partial contains 5.8S ribosomal RNA, internal transcribed spacer 2, and large subunit ribosomal RNA". The record is from RNAcentral.
AACCUAGCACACCUGCGGUGUGUACCUGCGGAAGGAUCAUUACCUAGAGUUGUAGGCUUUGCCUGCUAUCUCUUACCCAUGUCUUCUGAGUACCUUACGUUUCCUCGGUGGGCUCGCCCACCGAUUGGACAAAUUUAAACCCUUUGCAGUUGAAAUCAGCGUCUGAAAAAACUUAAUAGUUACAACUUUUAACAAUGGAUCU